GACCGCGUAGCUCAGUUGGCAGAGCAUUGGGCUAGUAUCCCAAAGGUCGUAGGUUCGAUUCCCACUGUGGUCA
RNAcentral lists this transfer RNA (73 nucleotides) under Paramuricea clavata. It matches the Rfam family "tRNA". From Rfam's summary of the family: Transfer RNA (tRNA) molecules are approximately 80 nucleotides in length. The record is from Rfam by way of RNAcentral. Lineage: Eukaryota; Metazoa; Cnidaria; Anthozoa; Malacalcyonacea; Plexauridae.